This 376-nucleotide ribosomal RNA is filed under the name Dermestidae sp. VAITC9100. RNAcentral's name for it is "partial large subunit ribosomal RNA". Lineage: Eukaryota; Metazoa; Arthropoda; Insecta; Coleoptera; Dermestidae. The record is from RNAcentral.
GUCUUUUUGAUUUUAUUUAAAGUCUGGUCUGCUCACUGAUAUUUUAAAUAGCCGCGGUAUAUUGACCGUGCGAAGGUAGCAUAAUAAUUAGUUUCUUUAUUGGGAUCUGGAAUGAAUGAUUAGACGAGAAAAGUACUGUCUCUUUUUAAUUUGGUUGAAUUUUACUUUUGAGUUAAAAGGCUUAAUUAAUUUUAAAAGACGAGAAGACCCUAUAGAGUUUAAUUAAUUUUGUAUUACUUUAUUUUGGUAAUUUAUUUUUUAAUUUUUAUAUUAAUUUUGUUGGGGUGACUGUAAAAAUUAUGUAACUUUUAUUUUAUUAUAACAUUUAUUUAUGAUUAUUUGAUCCAUUUAUAUGAUUGAAAGAAAAAUUACCUUA